UUAAUGACAAUUAAAAUUAUAUUAGGAAUCAGAUUUUUGAUCUAAUUAUAAUUAAGAAUUUAGUAUUGUUAGACUUUAAAUUAAUUGGAUCCUAAUUAAAUUCUUUCUCCACUAAAAUUUUCCUACGUUUAAUUGAAUCUCCUAUUGGUUCCUCUCGACAGACCCAGCGCUGGGGUGUCGUCGUGGGUCUCGCGUAGUCCAGGGAGGGUUUCCUCCUUCUCUUCCGCCUUGUUCAAGUUUUCACCGCAAGGAUGGAGGCUUCUUUCCUCUUUUCCUCUUCUGCUUCGUCUCACAGGAAGAGAGACGUUGUUCUUUGUCUCGUUUUCUGGCUUUGGUUUCGGGUUUUUGCAAGGCAAAGGAGGAGGUUUCGCUUUUCUCGUUUCUGUCUGGGUUUGUGUUUCGUAGGAGGGAGGUUCCUUUCCUAUCCUCUUUUUCUGGUCGUUCUGGCAGGGAGGUUCGUUCCAGCGUCUAAGCAAUGCGAGGAGCUCGGUUCCUCGGCGUUCUCGUGGUGAUCGGGAUCACGGAAGCUCCCUCUUUUGAAGCAACCUGUGACGGUAGCAGAAUGGGCUGCAUUCUUGAUUCGCGUUUCUGAUUAGGGUUUUCUGAAAUUGGGAAUUUUGGAGGUUUUGGAAUCUAUUAUUGCAAAUUGGGGUUUCUGAUCUUGUUCUUCUAAUUUGGGAAUUCUCUUUUAAGAGCUUUGUUCUUGUUUUCAGAAAUUGUGUUUUGGAACCAAUCGAGAUGUUGGGGUUCUGGCUUUCAGAUUCUGUUUUGAGAAUGAGGUUCCUGUUUUGAGUUCAUGACCUUAGGGUUUGAGUGUAGGGUGUUCGAGUUAAAUAUCUGGGGUUUUGGCUCUUCGUGUGAUCGGAGGUUGAGUGCUUGGUUUCGAUCGGCAUUGGGUCUGACGAUGGUGGUUUCCACCUUCGAGGUGGCCAGAGAGUACAAGCACAGGUUCAGACUGAAUGGCAGUGGGCCGUGGGUCGGUGCGGAUUGAACCUGGUUGGGCCUGCGCAGACCCAUGGUUGGACUUUGUGAAACUCAGAUUUUUAGAAUCGUUGAGACAACCUUUAAAACAAAAAAAAAAAGGUAAGGGAUAAAGAAAAAGUAAUGAAAUUUUAAAUAUAUUUGGAAAUCGAAACUCUAGGGUCCAAAAAUAAUGAUAAGAAAAAGAUUAUGUAUUUGAAAUUAAAAUAAUGGG
Molecule: long non-coding RNA, 1195 nt
Filed under: Vigna radiata
Lineage: Eukaryota; Viridiplantae; Streptophyta; Magnoliopsida; Fabales; Fabaceae
Description: long non-coding RNA (VRAD_LNC007562)
Source: RNAcentral